Molecule: ribosomal RNA, 274 nt
Filed under: uncultured bacterium
Lineage: Bacteria
Description: partial 16S ribosomal RNA
Rfam family: Bacterial small subunit ribosomal RNA
Source: RNAcentral
UACGUAGGGGGCGAGCGUUGUCCGGAAUCAUUGGGCGUAAAGAGCUCGUAGGCGGUUCAGUAAGUCGACUGUGAAAAUCCAAGGCUCAACCUUGGGACGCCAGUCGAUACUGCUGUGACUCGAGUUCGGUAGAGGAGUGUGGAAUUCCUGGUGUAGCGGUGAAAUGCGCAGAUAUCAGGAGGAACACCAACGGCGAAGGCAGCACUCUGGGCCGAUACUGACGCUGAAGAGCGAAAGCAUGGGGAGCAAACAGGAUUAGAAACCCCGGUAGUCC